RNAcentral lists this ribosomal RNA (399 nucleotides) under uncultured bacterium. Its description in RNAcentral is "bacterial SSU rRNA". It matches the Rfam family "Bacterial small subunit ribosomal RNA", at positions 356 to 773 of the family's 1533-position model. The record is from RNAcentral.
GGGGAAUAUUGCACAAUGGAGGAAACUCUGAUGCAGCGACGCCGCGUGAGCGAAGAAGGCCUUCGGGUCGUAAAGCUCUGUCCUAUGGGACGAUAAUGACGGUACCAUAGGAGGAAGCCCCGGCUAACUACGUGCCAGCAGCCGCGGUAAUACGUAGGGGGCGAGCGUUGUCCGGAAUGACUGGGCGUAAAGGGUACGUAGGCGGCUAGAUAAGUCAGAUGUGAAAGGCAUGGGCUCAACCUGUGUUAGCAUUUGAAACUGUUUAGCUUGAGUUAAGGAGAGGAAAGUGGAAUUCCUGGUGUAGCGGUGAAAUGCGUAGAUAUCAGGAGGAAUACCAGUGGCGAAGGCGACUUUCUGGACUUAUACUGACGCUGAGGUACGAGAGCGUGGGGAGCGAAC